Tachysurus fulvidraco (yellow catfish) is the source of this 592-nucleotide long non-coding RNA. RefSeq lists it as uncharacterized. Lineage: Eukaryota; Metazoa; Chordata; Actinopteri; Siluriformes; Bagridae. The record is from RefSeq and is a predicted model, not a curated record. The transcript has 2 exons.
GUUUCCUGUUUGUAAUCACCUGAUUUAUUUAAGCUCACUCAGAACUCUCUGAUGGCGGGAUGUAUUGUUAGCUUGUCUGCAUGUUGAGCGUAUUAUCGGUUCCGUCUAUUGCCGUGUUUUGACCUUGCUUGUUUUUCGCGUUUAUGAAUGUUUGCUGCCUGCCCAGACCUACGCCUGGAUUAUUGACUACUGUUUUUGGAUUUCCUUUGACGUUGUUGUUUGCCUGAUGCUUGAAUUGCCUGUUUUGGAUGUUGCCUAAUAAACCAGCAUUUGGAUCUAACCUGUUUCACGUGCGUGACACACACAGUGGAACAGUUUGUCAAAUUAAUUUCUUUUUUAUCAAAUUAAAUGAACAAUAAUGAAAUCUCAUUCCAAUAUCUCAGUGUUCAACAAGAGGAGUAAAGAUUGUGUUAGGAAUCGGGGGGAGACUUUAUGGAUAAAAUCCAGAACCAAAUGCAACAAAAAACAGACGCAAGACAACCAGUAUAAAUUGGGAGCACAAUCAUUGAGACACGGAAAACGUAUGCAGAGGCGGGAUCAGAUUAAGGAUAGGGCAGGGCCAAGGCACGUGAACACAAAACAGAUAUAAAAA